Molecule: ribosomal RNA, 405 nt
Filed under: Blastocystis hominis
Lineage: Eukaryota; Bigyra; Opalinata; Blastocystidae
Description: SSU rRNA
Rfam family: Eukaryotic small subunit ribosomal RNA
Source: RNAcentral
ACAACUCUUAUCGAUAAGCCAUUGGAGGGCAAGUCUGGUGCCAGCAGCCGCGGUAAUUCCAGCUCCAAUAGCGUAUAUUAACGUUGUUGCAGUUAAAAAGCUCGUAGUUGAAGUGAGGGAGUGUGUAGUAGGACCGACUUGAUCGGAACUGCUGCAACCUCCCCCCUCCAAUCGGUGUAGUGGGGUAUUCAGUUAUUUCACUACUCCUUUGGUCGUUUACUGUGAGAAAAUUAGAGUGUUCAAAGCGGGCGUUUGUUUGAAUAGAUUAGCAUGGAAUAAUGAUUGAAGGCUUUCGUGUUCGAUUUGAUUGGUUUGUUCAUGGAAGCAAGGUUAAAAGGAACAGUUGGGGGUAUUCAUAUUCACUAGUUAGAGGUGAAAUUCUCGGAUUUAUGGAAGAUGAACAAG